RNAcentral lists this transfer RNA (74 nucleotides) under Flammulina velutipes KACC42780. Its description in RNAcentral is "tRNA-Val (TAC) (tRNA-Val-TAC-1-1)". It matches the Rfam family "tRNA". From Rfam's summary of the family: Transfer RNA (tRNA) molecules are approximately 80 nucleotides in length. Their secondary structure includes four short double-helical elements and three loops (D, anti-codon, and T loops). Further hydrogen bonds mediate the characteristic L-shaped molecular structure. tRNAs have two regions of fundamental functional importance: the anti-codon, which is responsible for specific mRNA codon recognition, and the 3' end, to which the tRNAs corresponding amino acid is attached (by aminoacyl-tRNA synthetases). tRNAs cope with the degeneracy of the genetic code in two manners: having more than one tRNA (with a specific anti-codon) for a particular amino acid; and 'wobble' base-pairing, i.e. permitting non-standard base-pairing at the 3rd anti-codon position. The record is from RNAcentral. Lineage: Eukaryota; Fungi; Basidiomycota; Agaricomycetes; Agaricales; Physalacriaceae.
GGAAUGAUGGCGUAGUUGGUUAUCGCAUUCGUCUUACACACGAAAGGUCCUCAGUUCGAACCUGUGUCAUUUCA